UAGACAUUAUCCUGCAUUCCAGAAACAAAUUUCACGUCGUUUACUCAUUCAUUUCACCUCUCAGCUUGCACUUUCCAGGGUGCAUCACGCCUCCGAACCAUCCGGUCCUCAGCACCUUUCCAAUUUUACAAAUAUUUCUACCUCACACAUAUUUAAGGAUUCCAUCUGAGCAGCCUAAGUCUAUAAAAGAGAGAGGUCAAACAACAGCAAUGAUGCCAGAGGUGCCUGUUCGCCCCACAUGAACGCCAACAGUGUAAAACUAUCAACUUUGAGGACAACGAAUCCGACGAAGAUUAUUCGUAAUAGUGAAAGCGGCACACUUCAUCAGGUGACACCUCUAGAGUGAACACCGCAAAUUAUAGGACUUCAUAUGUUCCUGUCAUCCACCACAAAGGUCCAAGUGUUUCACGAUGUAGGCAACAUGCAAGAAAAAAAUUACCUUUGGCAGCCUGCAAAGGCGUGCCAGUUAGUCAGUUGUAACGGCAGUAGCCACGAGUGGGGCCAGAAAUGUGCGCUCGCUUGUACAUUCUAUCACUGCCAACUCAUGCUGAGGAAGGCCAUCUCCUCCUGAUGGUCCUGAUGGUGAAGAAGACUCCUCUACUAGAGCAGUGUUUCCCAAAGUGUGGUCCGCAAAACUGUCCAUGGGGGUCCGCGACCGUCUCUCACAUUUCAAUGAGGAUUUUCGUCCCCACAAACACGUGCUCGUACAUGCUGCCCGAUUUCCAAACACCCAGAACUUCCAAAAUUGCUACAAGCAUGCUUCAACGGCUAGCUUCUCAUUUCUGAUAGAAAAGUCCUGCAAUGCACGUUUGUCCGCGUCAUACACAUACAAACAAGAAGAAACCAGUCCGGAAUCGUUUCUGAAGCUGUAUCGAAAGCACGCAGCAGCUGACGAGGUUGCUGGUUAUACACUGGCUGUGACGGUGUGUGUGGGGGGGGGGAUUCCGUGAAUUGGUUCUCAUCGCUUCCGGGGGUCCGUCACCGCCAAAAGUUUGGGAAACACUGUACUAGAGGAGUAAGAACACACCACGUGAUGCCAUCGAGAACACUCCACCUCUCCAGCAUUCUUUCCAUGAACUUUCCAUCCUGUGCGAGCAUCACCUUAUCUGUCGUGAGAAACACUUGUUAGAAGAAAAGGUAUAGAAGAGGUAUAACGAAGGUAUAAACCAGGACUAAACUUCCAUAUUUAUACCUCAUCACCAACGUCUAUACCCCGUUUAAACCAUGUGGGAGGUAUAAAUUGCCGAGGCUAUACCUUCUACGCCAGUUGAGGGUAUAAUUAAGGUACUUCUCUCUUGCGUUUAUACCUUCGGUAUUUUGUAUACCUUUAGAUAUGAACCUGUGGUACCACAUUAAUUUGUGGUGGAGACAGUACCAUCUCAGCUAAGCAGUAAUUUAAUUAGGAAACACAGUCAGUAAUACAGUUGCACCAUAAUUAAAAGGGGGAAUGGUUUA
Ornithodoros turicata is the source of this 1455-nucleotide long non-coding RNA. RefSeq lists it as uncharacterized. The transcript is spliced from 2 exons. Lineage: Eukaryota; Metazoa; Arthropoda; Arachnida; Ixodida; Argasidae. The record is from RefSeq and is a predicted model, not a curated record.